GUUUCUAAAUGUUACUUCAGAACAAGCUGUGGUCAAGACGAGUCAUGUUCACUGUCAAGAUAUCCUGACGAGUAUGGUGUAGAUAUUUACAGUCUUGGUUGCUUGUCAAAAAGUGUUUGUGAAAUGAUAGAAGGUAUAAACAAAGCAAUUUAUGGACGGAGGACAGUGACAUCUUUAACAC
This is a long non-coding RNA of Mytilus trossulus (common blue mussel), 181 nucleotides long. RefSeq lists it as uncharacterized. The transcript has 3 exons. The record is from RefSeq and is a predicted model, not a curated record. NCBI's taxonomy places the organism in Eukaryota, Metazoa, Mollusca, Bivalvia, Mytilida, Mytilidae.